Cyanistes caeruleus (blue tit) is the source of this 1551-nucleotide non-coding RNA. The record is from RefSeq and is a predicted model, not a curated record. NCBI's taxonomy places the organism in Eukaryota, Metazoa, Chordata, Aves, Passeriformes, Paridae.
GGUGGAGAGGCCACUGGGAAGACUACAUAGCUCCAUUCUAUUGCUUCUCAGUUAGAAAGAAAAUACUUAGUUCCUGUCAGAUCUCCCCUGAGGUGCUCAUUACCAGGCAAAGAUCCACAUUGCUUAGUACCACAAUAUUUUCAAGACUGUAGAAGAAGGAAUCAAUACCGUACUCUUUAGGAGUAUUCAUUUUACAGGUUGGGAACUUUACUUAUUUUACAGAAGUUCAGAAAUGAAGUUUAAAAAAAAUCAGACAUCUUUAUGUGGGAAGCUGUGCUUCAGCUUAAUCCAGCCCCUUGAGACCAGUGAGGAAUCCUGUUGCAAGGAAGAUUUACCCCCAGUGGAAGAGGAUCAUGUCAGGAAACACUUAAACAGAGUCCAGAGUACCUAUCAGGAUGCACUCAUGAGACCUGAGGAAGCUGGCCACUGUCAUUUGCAAGAUUAAACUCAGUUAUCUUCGAAAGGUUGGAAAAGCUACAGACUGGUCAGCAUCAGCUGAGACUAGCUCAGCUGCUCAGAGCAUGGUGCUGAUAACACCAAGGUUGUGGGUUCCAUCCCUAUGUGGGCCAUUCUCUUCAGAGCUGGACUUGAUCCUGGUGGGGGAAGGUUAGAGUGGAAAUCUUCCUGGAAGCCAUUUCCAAAUGUAUAAAAGUCGAAAAGGAAAUUUGGAUUAGACAGCAUGAGUUUAUUAAGUUUUCUGCUUAACCAAUCCAACAGCUUUCUAUUGUAUAGUGACCAGGUCCGUAGGCAAGGGCUGACACGUAGCUGACAUCAUUUAUUUUGAUUUUAUUGAGGCUUUCAGCAUUGUCCUCUAUAACGUUCUUACAAGCAAAAAGACGAAGUACAGAGUAGAAAAAUGGACAGAGAUGGACUGAAUCAGAUAAGAAAAACAAAGCCAAAUACCAAAGUAUGUAAGACAGAAAAGCAGGCCUAGAAACAAGGAAACUAUUAUUGAACUGUCAGGCUCAAAGGCUGUCAAUCAACAGAAUAAAGUCCAGCUGGAGACCACUCACUAGAGGUGUAGCCCAGGGAUUUGUAGCACAGGAAUUCUGUCUGAGUGGACACUAAGCUGCCCAAGAGACACCAAUGUACCCUUGCAUCAAAAUUUGACAGACUCUGAUUUCAUUAAGAGAAAUCUUUCCAGUAGGAUGAAGGAAAUUAUGAUUCCUCUCCACUUUGCCUGGGUGAGACUUAUCUGAAAUGCUAGGCCCAGUUUUGAGCUUCCCAGAGAAAGAAAGACAUGUUGUGAGUCCAGGAAAAGGUUACAAAAAUUUAGAUACUGGAGAUUCUGUCACAAAACAAAACAGAGAGAUGGCUCUGUUCAGCCUGAAGUUGAAAAGACUCAGGGGGAUUAUGUCAAUGUAAAAAAAUACCUGACCAGAAGAGGAUGAGACUAUUAGUGGUGCCCUGUGCCAAGAAAAGAGGCAAUAGCCACUAAUAGAAAUAAAGUUACUUCCCUUUAAACAUUAUAAAAAUGUAUUCUGUAAAUCAAAUUAGAAUAUGUUUACUGAAAACGAGGUCAUAUUCAGGUUUUCCAGAGAGGUUUUAAAG